GCCUGACCUUGGUGGCGGAUGGCCAGGCUGGCCCUCUCUCCCUACCACAAGUUAGGGUUACGAAUCAAAAACUGUUGCCCUUAGGAUAAUUUAACUUUGCCCUCAUAGACAUUCCCCAAGGUCACUUCUGUGACUGACUUCUGUUUUAUUGCUGGGAUUGAGAAGAUUGGAGGGGCUUUUUGAGAUGGCUGUGUCUGAUAGUCAUUCCUGAUUCUGCAUUCAUGCCGUUGCCAGGUCAGGAAGGGAAACUGAGACCCAAAGGGAAGCAUGUUCCAUGUGAAGCCUCAGCCAGAAGAGGUGAAAGGGCAAAGAAGCCAUGAGGACCUGCUGACGUGGGUGCCUAGCUUGGAGGACUGCCAGCUAGGGUGGAGCCAGUCCCAGGGGACCCUGGACUUCUGGGAAGUCACCGGGAGUUUGGCCAACCCUGUCCCCCUGCAGCAGGGCGGCAUCGUGCCUAGUUUGGCUUUGCAAGGGAGAAGGUAAAAAGAAUUACCCAUUGCUGCUGCCUCGAGUCUCUGGUUGGGAGGGUCUCUGUUAUUCCUUCUGGGUACCAACACACACAGGGGCUACUCUCUGGGACUGAUUCUUUUGGUACCCUCUGUCAGUACCUGUUGGGCCAAAUAGCCAGAAGUCAUAUCUUGAGCAUAGGCUCUAGUGGUCACCUCUCUGAACAUUCACUAAGUCUGACCCCGUCUCCUCCUCUCCCCAUCUCCUCUCCCCAGCUCCUCCUCUCCCCAGCUCCUCCACUCCCCAUCUCAUCUCCUCCUCUCCCCAUCUCCUCUUCUCCCUGCCUCCCAUCCUGAUGUUAAUAAAGGUUCUUAGUAAUCAUUUGAUGAGGUUCUUGGGUUGCAUGGAUAAGCCAUAGAGGAGCAAAAAGGGAAACCAGCCUGUUCAAGACCUCCAGCUGGUUCACAUAGCCGAAAUCGCUGAGACUCUAUGGGAAGAACGGCUCUCGGAAAAGCUGCCCAUACACACAGAGCUGCCCAUACACACAGGCCUGGGAGGCAGGG
Cricetulus griseus (Chinese hamster) is the source of this 1010-nucleotide non-coding RNA. NCBI's taxonomy places the organism in Eukaryota, Metazoa, Chordata, Mammalia, Rodentia, Cricetidae. The record is from RefSeq and is a predicted model, not a curated record.